Long non-coding RNA from Corvus hawaiiensis (hawaiian crow), 139 nucleotides. RefSeq lists it as uncharacterized. Lineage: Eukaryota; Metazoa; Chordata; Aves; Passeriformes; Corvidae. The transcript is spliced from 2 exons. The record is from RefSeq and is a predicted model, not a curated record.
CAGCAAGAACAGAGUUGGAAGCAGGCUCCAGCCGGGAACGGUACAAAAAAAUGUCCAAAAGAGCAGGAAUCCAAUGGGAUUUUACAUAUUCCUCGGAGACCAGAAUCCGGUGGGAAGGCUGAGAGAAGGAAACAAAGCC